GGUCGUGACUCAGUGGUAGAGCAUCUACUUUGCAUGCAGAAGGUUCCAUGUUCAAUCCCAGGUAGGGCUA
Podarcis lilfordi (Lilford's wall lizard) is the source of this 70-nucleotide non-coding RNA. Lineage: Eukaryota; Metazoa; Chordata; Lepidosauria; Squamata; Lacertidae. The record is from the annotation of a GenBank genome assembly.